GAUGAACGCUGGCGGCGUGCCUAAUACAUGCAAGUCGAGCGAACAGAUGAGGAGCUUGCUCCUCUGACGUUAGCGGCGGACGGGUGAGUAACACGUGGAUAACCUACCUAUAAGACUGGGAUAACUUCGGGAAACCGGAGCUAAUACCGGAUAAUAUAUUGAACCGCAUGCUUCAAUCGUGAAAUACGGUUUUGCUGUCACUUAUAGAUGGAUCCGCGCCGCAUUAGCUAGUUGGUAAGGUAACGGCUUACCAAGGCAACGAUGCGUAGCCGACCUGAGAGGGUGAUCGGCCACACUGGAACUGAGACACGGUCCAGACUCCUACGGGAGGCAGCAGUAGGGAAUCUUCCGCAAUGGGCGAAAGCCUGACGGAGCAACGCCGCGUGAGUGAUGAAGGUCUUCGGAUCGUAAAACUCUGUUAUUAGGGAAGAACAAAUGUGUAAGUAACUAUGCACGUCUUGACGGUACCUAAUCAGAAGGCCACGGCUAACUACGUG
RNAcentral lists this ribosomal RNA (497 nucleotides) under uncultured bacterium. Its description in RNAcentral is "partial 16S ribosomal RNA". It matches the Rfam family "Bacterial small subunit ribosomal RNA", at positions 28 to 507 of the family's 1533-position model. The record is from RNAcentral.